This 495-nucleotide ribosomal RNA is filed under the name uncultured bacterium. RNAcentral describes it as "partial 16S ribosomal RNA". It matches the Rfam family "Bacterial small subunit ribosomal RNA", at positions 28 to 507 of the family's 1533-position model. The record is from RNAcentral.
GACGAACGCUGGCGGCGUGCCUAAUACAUGCAAGUAGAACGCUGAAGGAGGAGCUUGCUUCUCUGGAUGAGUUGCGAACGGGUGAGUAACGCGUAGGUAACCUGCCUGGUAGCGGGGGAUAACUAUUGGAAACGAUAGCUAAUACCGCAUAACAGUAGAUAUCGCAUGAUAUCUACUUGAAAGGUGCAAUUGCAUCACUACCAGAUGGACCUGCGUUGUAUUAGCUAGUUGGUGAGGUAACGGCUCACCAAGGCGACGAUACAUAGCCGACCUGAGAGGGUGAUCGACCACACUGGGACUGAGACACGGCCCAGACUCCUACGGGAGGCAGCAGUAGGGAAUCUUCGGCAAUGGACGGAAGUCUGACCGAGCAACGCCGCGUGAGUGAAGAAGGUUUUCGGAUCGUAAAGCUCUGUUGUAAGAGAAGAACGAGUGUGAGAGUGGAAAGUUCACACUGUGACGGUAUCUUACCAGAAAGAGACGGCUAACUACGUG